AUGGCACCCAAGGAAUUACUCCUGUCCGCCACCCUCCUCUUGCUUCUCCUCCGAGCUGCCACCGGGAACCUCCGGCACGAAAACGUCAUCGAUCGGUGCUGGCGCGGCCAGAGCAACUGGGCCACCGACCGGCAGCGGCUCGCCAUGUGCUCCGUCGGCUUCGCGGGGAAGAUGCGGCAGAACCGCGGCCACGGGGUGACCAUGUACACGGUGACCGACCCAAGCGACGACCCCGUGCGGCCCAGGCCCGGCACGCUGCGGUACGGCGCGACGGUGCUACCGGGAAAGGUCUGGAUCACCUUCCAGCCGGGCACCAUGCACAUCAGGCUGGCGCAGCCGCUCUUCGUCAAGAGCUUCACCACGAUCGACGGCCGUGGCGCCGACGUGCACGUCGCCGGGGGCGCCGGCAUUGUGCUCUACGAGGUGAGGAACGUGGUCAUCCACGGGCUCCACGUGCACGGCGUCCGCGCGCAGCCCCCCGGGCAGGUCGUCCGGCCCGGCGGCGCCGUGCAGAACAUGGACGUCGGCGACGGCGACGCCAUCCGGCUGCUGUCCAGCUCCAAGGUGUGGAUCGACCACAACACGCUAGCGCGGUGCGAGGACGGCCUGCUGGACGUGACGCUCGGGUCCACGGACGUGACCGUCUCCAACAACUGGUUCCACGACCACGACAAGGUCAUGCUGCUGGGCCACGACGACCAGCACGUCGCCGACCGCCGGAUGCGGGUCACCGUGGCGUUCAACCGCUUCGGGCCCCACGUGAACCAGCGCAUGCCGAGGAUCAGGCACGGCUACGCCCACGUCGUCAACAACUUCUACGACGGGUGGAGGGAAUACGCCAUCGGAGGAAGCAUGGGGCCGACUGUCAAGAGCCAGGGCAACCUGUUCAUCGCCUCCACAACAGACAGCGCCAAUGUGACGAGAAGGAUGCCUCUGGUCGGACAUGCCGAGGGUAAGGACUGGCAUUGGCACUCCAGUGGGGACUCGUUUGAGAACGGCGCCGUCUUUAAGCAGACCGGCAGCAGGGUGCGGCCGAAAUACAACAGGCACCAGGCAUUCCCAGCGGCGAGCUCCGGCGAGGUGAGAUCGCUGACCAAGGACGCCGGUGCUUUGAGGUGCUCCGCCGGGGCCGCGUGCUGA
RNAcentral lists this ribosomal RNA (1140 nucleotides) under Triticum aestivum (bread wheat). RNAcentral describes it as "partial small subunit ribosomal RNA". The record is from RNAcentral. Lineage: Eukaryota; Viridiplantae; Streptophyta; Magnoliopsida; Poales; Poaceae.